Molecule: long non-coding RNA, 1358 nt
Organism: Hippocampus comes (tiger tail seahorse)
Lineage: Eukaryota; Metazoa; Chordata; Actinopteri; Syngnathiformes; Syngnathidae
Exons: 2
Source: RefSeq, a predicted model, not a curated record
CUAAUAAUAAAUCACUACUUUUAAGCGUAAUAGCAGCAAGUAUUACUUCAAUGUGUGAAGAGAACAUGCAGAGCUACAGCUUUGUUAAUUUAGCAUUAAAGAACUCACUUUCUUAAUGGAAGGGCGAAAUGAAAGGCUGAGCUUUUCAAAAAUAUAUUUAUGUCCGCAAAAAAUAUUAGUGGCGCAUUAAAGCAAUCAACGGCUUGGACCUUAGCCACGCGCAUCAUGCCUUAAUCCUCCAUCCUAAGUCAUCCUCACCAUCAUUUGGCUGACGAGGCUGCUGACUUCCACACAACCUGAGAAGCUGAAAAAAAAAAACAAAUAAACUCACACUUCAUCAUAAAUCACUACUGCUUGUGCAUGCAUGCGUGUGUGUUGCAGAUGGGGAUCACAAGGGGCACCAUGUUGCAAAUCGAAGCACUUUCCGAAAGAAUCAACAACAUGACAUACCUGCUCAGCCGAGAUGAGGUGGCGAAGGAGCUAAGGAAGUCUCAGACAGCUCUAGUUUGAAGCAACUUCAAGUGACGCUAACCACUGAGCACUGGCCUAACCACACUGCAUCUACUCCAACGAGCCACUGCAGUCAACGUAACGUGGAACACGAUACAAUUUGGAGUGGAAAAAAAAAAACGGAUUCACCAUCAUUGUGGUCCCAGUUUGACACUGUACCAUACUGUACCCGUGAACAUGUUUAGCCGUCUAAUGCAAUGCCGCAAGUGAGUGUCAGUCAUCACAUCAGUCUUAUUGUGUGUUUCAUUGCAGUGCAUGAGUGUGUAGGUUUUGAUCUAAUGUGGUAAAAAGCAAUAAAAUACACAAAUACCUCAACUCUUUUAACAGAACGUGUGAGAUAUAUGUCGUGUAAAAAUAACAUUUUGUUAAUGACCUCUUUACCCAGUAACUACUAUGACUGAUUGACUUUUACUAGAAUUCACAUCGGAUGCUAUUUUUUGAAGCCACGUGUUUUGUGCCAGUCCACACAGGUAGUGUAGGGGCACAUGCAGAAGUUGUCAUGCAGAUGACACACGUUUAAUUCCCAGUCAGUGCAUCGACACCAGCGGAGCUGGCAAAAAUAGGUGGAAUUGCAUCAGGAAUUGAGGAUGUGAAAACUGCCAAACAAGUCGUGAGUGACUCACUGUGAUGAUAGGAGAUUUGGUGCUGGCCCCAACCAUGCUGACCUACAACAGGUGGUGUUGUAUACUGUGGACAGAUAGUGAGAUUUACUUCAUAAAGAGAUAUCUUACUAUUACAAAGAUGGAUGUGUUCAAGGGAUCUGUUCAUGGAGUUCAUUUGCAAGUGUUUAUUCAAUUUUUCUGUUUUCUAAAGGUGGACUCAAUUUGACUCUCAUGCUGAUCAAAAAA